GUCUCUGUGGCUCAGUUGGAAGAGCGUUGGUCUCAUAUCACCACCUAAUUGAUAUGACGAGGCUUGAAGCCUGGGACAUCCAAAGGUCGCAAGUUCGAGCCUUGCCAGGGACA
This is a non-coding RNA of Colletotrichum fioriniae, 113 nucleotides long. The record is from the annotation of a RefSeq genome assembly. Lineage: Eukaryota; Fungi; Ascomycota; Sordariomycetes; Glomerellales; Glomerellaceae.